Molecule: ribosomal RNA, 460 nt
Filed under: uncultured bacterium
Lineage: Bacteria
Description: partial 16S ribosomal RNA
Rfam family: Bacterial small subunit ribosomal RNA
Source: RNAcentral
CCUACGGGAGGCAGCAGUGAGGAAUAUUGGUCAAUGGACGAGAGUCUGAACCAGCCAAGUAGCGUGAAGGAUGACUGCCCUAUGGGUUGUAAACUUCUUUUAUAUGGGAAUAAAACGUUCCACGUGUGGGAUUUUGUAUGUACCAUAUGAAUAAGGAUCGGCUAACUACGUGCCAGCAGCCGCGGUAAUACGGAGGAUCCGAGCGUUAUCCGGAUUUAUUGGGUUUAAAGGGAGCGUAGGUGGAUUGUUAAGUCAGUUGUGAAAGUUUGCGGCUCAACCGUAAAAUUGCAGUUGAAACUGGCAGUCUUGAGUACAGUAGAGGUGGGCGGAAUUCGUGGUGUAGCGGUGAAAUGCUUAGAUAUCACGAAGAACUCCGAUUGCGAAGGCAGUUCACUGGACUGCAACUGACACUGAGGCUCGAAAGUGUGGGUAUCAAACAGGAUUAGAUACCCCUGUAGUC